Small nucleolar RNA from Mastomys coucha (southern multimammate mouse), 118 nucleotides. RefSeq annotates it as small nucleolar RNA SNORA31. The record is from RefSeq and is a predicted model, not a curated record. Lineage: Eukaryota; Metazoa; Chordata; Mammalia; Rodentia; Muridae. The transcript has a single exon.
UUGCAUAGCCCUUGAAUACUGUGGUUGCUCUUCAGGUCUGUACUAGGAUGCAAAAGAAAAGCUCUCUAAGCUUUCUGCCUGCCUCUGUGGCAUCCAGAUUGAAUUGGGGUGUGCAUCU